Molecule: long non-coding RNA, 481 nt
Filed under: Pogona vitticeps (central bearded dragon)
Lineage: Eukaryota; Metazoa; Chordata; Lepidosauria; Squamata; Agamidae
Description: lncRNA (ENSPVIG00000012108.1)
Source: RNAcentral
CUGGCUCAGUGUUUCAAACAUCAGUGAGACGUUAUGGUGGCAGCUGUCCUGUUUAUCAGAAAAUUGGACAUGCGACUCAUGUUAUUCAGAUGGCCUUUCUGGAGAUGACCCCGUGUUGACCCCAACAAGAGCGUGGGAUCUGCUGGAUUGAUGCUCGAGAUCUCUGCGCAAGGACCUCCUACUAGGAACGAUGUCUCUCCAGAAUUUUGCUUGGGAUUGAUGUCAGGCUGACUGGCCUGGACCACAUGAGGCCCUCUUCCAGUCCUCUGGAACCUCCCUCGUUUCCCAUGAUUUCAAGAAAAUAAUGGAUAGAGGUUCUGAGAGGUCUUCAGCUACUUCCUUCAGUCCUCUCAGAUGCAGUUCAUCCAGGCCUGGAGAGGAAAAUGAGAAAAUGUUUGGAAACAACUGAGCCUGAAGAAGGAAAGGAGAAGAAGGGAAACAAAAGAAUAAAUAAAUGGCAACAUAGAAGAAAUUGAAAAGC